GACGAACGCUGGCGGCGUGCUUAACACAUGCCAGUCGAACGGAAAGGCCCUGCUUUCGUGGGGUGCUCGAGUGGCGAACGGGUGAGUAACACGUGAGUAACCUGCCCUUGACUUUGGGAUAACUUCAGGAAACUGGGGCUAAUACCGGAUAGGAGCUCCUGCUGCAUGGUGGUGGUUGGAAAGUUUCGGCGGUUGGGGCUGGACUCGCGGCUUAUCAGCUUGUUGGUGGGGUAGUGGCUUACCAAGGCUUUUACGGGUAGCCGGCCUGAGGGGGUGACCGGCGACAUUGGGACUGAGAGACGGCCCAGACUCCUACGGGAGGGAGCAGUGGGGAAUAUUGCACAAUGGGCGGAAGCCUGAUGCAGCAACGCCGCGUGCGGGAUGACGGCCUUCGGGUUGUAAACCGCUUUCGCCUGUGACGAAGCGUGAGUGACGGUAAUGGGUAAAGAAGCACCGGCUAACUACGUG
This 468-nucleotide ribosomal RNA is filed under the name uncultured bacterium. RNAcentral's name for it is "partial 16S ribosomal RNA". It matches the Rfam family "Bacterial small subunit ribosomal RNA", at positions 28 to 507 of the family's 1533-position model. The record is from RNAcentral.